RNAcentral lists this ribosomal RNA (234 nucleotides) under uncultured bacterium. RNAcentral's name for it is "partial 16S ribosomal RNA". It matches the Rfam family "Bacterial small subunit ribosomal RNA", at positions 118 to 348 of the family's 1533-position model. The record is from RNAcentral.
UGAGGAACAUGACCUUCGGCGGGGGAGUAGCCGGCCCAACGGCCGGGUAAUACCGCGUACGACCACAUGGGGACAUCCCCGAGUGGUGAAAGCAGCAAUGCUCCGAUGGAGUGCCUCGCGGCCUAUCAGCUAGUUGGUGAGGUAACGGCUCACCAAGGCGACGACGGGUAGCUGGUCUGAGAGGAUGGCCAGCCACAUUGGGACUGAGACACGGCCCAGACUCCGUAGGGACGG